UGACAAACGCUGUUGUGAUCAUAAACUGUAUGGAUGUGAUUACACGCAAUACACUGAGCUUUUCCUUCACCAUUGUAAAGCGCUGCUUUUGCAAGGUUCCGUAAAAACGUUUCAGCUUGUAUUUUCCGUUUUCGCCCUGAAGAAUAUAUCACAGAUUCAUCAAGUUUAUCAAAAUUCAUACAG
Sinocyclocheilus anshuiensis is the source of this 183-nucleotide long non-coding RNA. RefSeq lists it as uncharacterized. The transcript is spliced from 3 exons. The record is from RefSeq and is a predicted model, not a curated record. NCBI's taxonomy places the organism in Eukaryota, Metazoa, Chordata, Actinopteri, Cypriniformes, Cyprinidae.